GAUGAACGCUGGCGGCGUGCCUAAUACAUGCAAGUCGAACGAAUCUCUUUUAGAGAUGAGUGGCGAACGGGUGAGUAAUACAUAGGUAACCUGCCCCUGUGCGGGGGAUAACAGGAGGAAACUCCUGCUAAUACCGCAUAGCCAUGAGCACCGCAUGGAGCUCAUGCCAAAUAUCCUUUCGGGGAUAGCGCAGGGAUGGACCUAUGGCGCAUUAGCUGGUUGGCGGGGCAACGGCCCACCAAGGCAACGAUGCGUAGCCGGCCUGAGAGGGCGGACGGCCACAUUGGGACUGAGACACGGCCCAGACUCCUACGGGAGGCAGCAGUAGGGAAUUUUCGGCAAUGGGGGAAACCCUGACCGAGCAACGCCGCGUGAGCGAAGAAGGCCUUCGGGUCGUAAAGCUCUGUUGUAAAGGAAGAACGGCGCAUACAGGAAAUGGUAUGCGAGUGACGGUACUUUACCAGAAAGCCACGGCUAACUACGUGCCAGCAGCCG
Molecule: ribosomal RNA, 495 nt
Filed under: uncultured bacterium
Lineage: Bacteria
Description: bacterial SSU rRNA
Rfam family: Bacterial small subunit ribosomal RNA
Source: RNAcentral